CCUACGGGAGGCAGCAGUGGGGAAUAUUGGACAAUGGGCGCAAGCCUGAUCCAGCAAUACCGCGUGUGUGAAGAAGGCCUUAGGGUUGUAAAGCACUUUCAAUUGGGAGGAAUACCUAUCGGUUAAUACCCGAUAGAUUGACAUUACCUUUAGAAGAAGCACCGGCUAACUCCGUGCCAGCAGCCGCGGUAAUACGGAGGGUGCGAGCGUUAAUCGGAAUUACUGGGCGUAAAGCGUGCGUAGGUGGUUGUUUAAGUCAGAUGUGAAAGCCCCGGGCUCAACCUGGGAACGGCAUUUGAUACUGAACGGCUGGAGUUUGGGAGAGGUAAGUGGAAUUUCAGGUGUAGCGGUGAAAUGCGUAGAUAUCUGAAGGAACACCAGUGGCGAAGGCGACUUACUGGCCUAAAACUGACGCUGAGGCACGAAAGCAUGGGGAGCAAACAGGAUUAGAUACCCUGGUAGUCCAUGCCGUAAACGAUGUCAACUAACCGUUGGGUUUCUUUGAAACUUAGUGGUGGAGCUAACGUAUUAAGUUGACCGCCUGGGGAGUACGGUCGCAAGGCUAAAACUCAAAUGAAUUGACGGGGGCCCGCACAAGCGGUGGAGCAUGUGGUUUAAUUCGAUGCAACGCGAAGAACCUUACCUACCCUUGACAUGUCUGAAAUCCUUAAGAGAUUAGGGAGUGCCUUCGGGAAUCAGAACACAGGUGCUGCAUGGCUGUCGUCAGCUCGUGUCGUGAGAUGUUGGGUUAAGUCCCGUAACGAGCGCAACCCUUGUCCUUAGUUGCCAGCGCGUAAUGGCGGGAACUCUAGGGAGACUGCCGAUGAUAAAUCGGAGGAAGGUGGGGACGACGUCAAGUCAUCAUGGCCCUUAUGGGUAGGGCUACACACGUGCUACAAUGGUCGGUACAGAGGGCUGCAAAAUCGCAAGGUCAAGCAAAUCCCACAAAGCCGAUCUUAGUCCGGAUUGGAGUCUGCAACUCGACUCCAUGAAGUCGGAAUCGCUAGUAAUCGCGAAUCAGAAUGUCGCGGUGAAUACGUUCCCGGGCCUUGUACACACCGCCCGU
RNAcentral lists this ribosomal RNA (1066 nucleotides) under uncultured bacterium. Its description in RNAcentral is "bacterial SSU rRNA". It matches the Rfam family "Bacterial small subunit ribosomal RNA", at positions 338 to 1397 of the family's 1533-position model. The record is from RNAcentral.